This 506-nucleotide ribosomal RNA is filed under the name uncultured bacterium. Its description in RNAcentral is "partial 16S ribosomal RNA". It matches the Rfam family "Bacterial small subunit ribosomal RNA", at positions 29 to 523 of the family's 1533-position model. The record is from RNAcentral.
AUUGAACGCUGGCGGCAGGCCUAACACAUGCAAGUCGGAUGGUAGCACAGAGGAGCUUGCUCCUCGGGUGACGAGUGGCGGACGGGUGAGUAAUGUCUGGGGAUCUGCCCGUGAGAGAGGGAUAACCACUGGAAACGGUGGCUAAUACCGCAUUACGGGGCACAACCAAAGAGGGGGAGAUUGGGUCUGGUCAAUAUUGGAUGAACACAGGUAGGAUUAGCUAGUAGGCGGGGUAACGGCCCACCUAGGCGACGAUCCGUAGCUGGGCUGAGAGGAUGACCAGCCACACUGGAACUGAGACACGGUCCAGACUCCUACGGGAGGCAGCAGUGGGGAAUAUUGCACAAUGGGCGAAAGCCUGAUGCAGCCAUGCCGCGUGUAUGAAGAAGGCCUUCGGGUUGUAAAGUACUUUCAUCGGGGAAGAAGGCGAUGUGGUUAAUAACCGCAUUGGUUGGCGUUACCGGCAGAAGAAGCACCGGCUAACUCCGUGCCAGCCGCCGCGGUAA